Antechinus flavipes (yellow-footed antechinus) is the source of this 2697-nucleotide long non-coding RNA. RefSeq lists it as uncharacterized. The record is from RefSeq and is a predicted model, not a curated record. NCBI's taxonomy places the organism in Eukaryota, Metazoa, Chordata, Mammalia, Dasyuromorphia, Dasyuridae. The transcript has 3 exons.
UUCAGCCGGGUGGGGCAGGAUGGGGAGGGUUCCUCGACUCCUCUCUCUAGGCGGUUUCCACGGCAACCAGGCGGCUUUGGCCAAUGGGGAAAGGCCAGCCGAUCGGGGCGGGAGAGGGUGUGGCCUGGACCUCGGAGGCGGGCCCCGGGCGGGGCCUGUCUGGCCACGCCCCCUCCGCUGUGCGCCAGUCUCGGGUGGGGGAGGCGGGGCCGGCCGGGCUAGAAUCGGAGAGCUGCGGCUGCGGCGCUGGCAGAGGAGCCGGAGCCCGAGGUCCAGGAGCCGCCGCGGCGGGAGCAUCAGGCCGGAGCGCGAGGCCCCGCAGGCCCGGGCCGGGCACCGCCGCCAGCCGCGGCUGCGCUCAGAGAUCCGCCCGGGCAUCCUCCCCCACGGGCCGGGCACGGGACCCAGAGCGCGUGCACAGGGGCUGGACAGCCGGGCCCCCCGGCCCCCGGCCCCCAUGUGCGUCUGCUCCCGGAAUGACCUCGGCCGAUGGAGCCCCGGCCACCCCGCUCCUGCUGCCCUGGAAGCUGGCCCCGCGGGCCCAGGGGCCGGGCCGGUGCCCGGCGGGCAGCCCCGGGCGCAUCCUGGCCACCGUGCUGGUGUGGCUGGUGGCGGGCACCGGCAUGUCCAGCCUCAACAAGUGGAUCUUCGCCGUGCACGGCUUCCGCUACCCGCUGCUGCUGUCCUCCCUGCACAUGCUGACCGCCGUGCUCGUGGGCUACCCGCUGGCCGGGCGGGGGGCGCGCGGGCCUCUGCCGGCCCGGGCCAGGAGGAGGGUCUUCCUGCUCAGCCUGACCUUCUGUGCCACCAUGGCCUGCGGGAACCUGGGCCUCACCUACGUGCACCUGGACUUCGCCCAGAUGGUCUACACCACCACGCCCCUCUUCACCCUGGCCCUGUCCAAGGCCCUCCUGGGCAAGCGCCAUCACCCGCUGCAGUACGCGGCCAUGGGGCCCAUCUGCCUGGGCGCUGCCUGCAGCAUCAUGGGCGAGAUGCACUUCCACCACACCGGCUGCUGCUUCCUCUUCGCCGCCACCUUCCUCCGGGGCCUCAAAUCCGUCCAGCAAAGUGUCCUGCUGCGGGAGGAGAGGCUGGACUCGGUGGCCCUGCUGUACCUGACGUCCCUGCCCAGCUUCUGCCUGCUGCUGGGGGCCGCCCUGGUGCUGGAGCUGGGCGGCCCCGGCGCGGGCCCGGCCCCCACUGACCGCGGCCUCUGGCUGCUGCUGCUGCUCAGCUGCCUGCUCUCCGUCCUCUACAACCUGGCCAGCUUCUCCCUGCUGGCGCUCACCUCGGCCCUCACCGUGCACGUGCUGGGCAACUUCCACGUGGUGGGCAACCUGGCGCUGUCCUGGCUGCUGUUCGGGAGCCGCCUGAGCGGCCUCAGCUACGUGGGCAUCGCCCUCACGCUGCUGGGCAUGUUUCUGUACCACAACUGCCACCUGGUGGCCUCCUGGUGGGCCCUGGGCUGGGCGGGCCGGCCCGCGGGGGCCCCGUGAAGGUCGGCCGUGCUCCCCGUGCCCGAAGGUCAGCAGUGCUCCCUGUGCCCGCCGGGGCCCCUGAAGGUCGGCCGUGCUCCCCGUGCCCAAAGGUCGGCUGUGCUCCCUGUGCCCGAAGGUCGGCCGUGCUCCCCAUGCCCGAAGGUCGGCCGUGCUCCCAGUGCCCGAAGGUCAGCUGUGCUCCUUGUGCCCGAAGGUCGGCCGUGCUCCCCGUGCCCAAAGGUUGGCUGUGCUCCCUGUGCCCGAAGGUCGGCUGUGCUCCCUGUGCCCAAAGGUCAGCUGUGCUCCCUGUGCCUGCCGGGGCCCCUGAAGGUCGGCCGUGCUCCCCAUGCCCGAAGGUCACUUGUGCUCCCCGUGCCCGAAGGUCGGCCGUGCUCCCUGUGCCCAAAGGUCAGCCGUGCUCCCUGUGCCCGCCGGGCCCGGCUAGUCCGUCCUUAGCUUCCACCGCCAGCCUGGGAGAGGAGGAGCCCCGGGACAUGGGGGAGCCCCAGCCAAGAAGAGCCUUGCAGAAAAACCUCCAGGGGCGGGGCGGCUGGCCCUCGGAGCGCUGUCUGUUCCAGGACCUCGGGGUGACUAGGAGCUUGCCCGCCCCGCGAGGGGCCAGCGGUGGGAUUAUCGCCCUCAUUUUACAAAGGAGAACCCAGUGCCGCGGCUGUCCCGGGCUCCCCCUGCGGCCUCGGUCCGACUGCAGCCUGGCCGGUCGCUCCCUCUCCCAGACCUUGCCUCAGUUUCCCCUUCUGUUAAAAGAGCGCGGCUCACUACCAGGGCUCGGCGGAGGAUGGCGACGCGCGUGAGCACUGCGACUAAAGUGAUCGCGGCUGCUGCAGCCGCCAGCCCCCGCUGUUCUGGUGAGGGUGACGGGCUGGGGGGAUUCCCUGUCUGUCCCCAGGCCGUCCGGUGCCCCCAGCCUGGGCUGGCCGUGGGGCUGCUCCAGAGAGACCAGGUCAGGCCGGGCUUCUUGGCGCCCCCUCCCCACUCAUCUCUCUGCUGCCAAAGCCAGGGAGGGGAAGGGGGCCGUUUCCUGGGGGGUCGCUGGCUGGAACCCCCCCGCCCCGUGGGCUUCGGCCUUGGCCGGGACGAUCCCCCAGGCCGGGCUGUCUGGCCGUGGAGGGGACUUCUUGGGCAGGUGCCCGUCCUGUGCCGGGCUUGGGGGCUGCGAAGGGGCUAUUUCCGUCCUCAAAUAAAGCACUGUUUGGUUCUC